AGCAGCCGCGGUAAUUCCAGCUCCAAUAGCGUAUAUUAAAGUUGUUGCAGUUAAAAGCUCGUGGUUGAAUUUCGGGAUCAGUUGAUCGGUCGUGCCUCGGUACGUACUGGUCAAAUUGAUUCCUACCUUCUGACGAACCACGAUGUCAUUAAUUUGGUGUCGCGGGAAAUCAGGACUGUUACUUUGAAAAAAUUAGAGUGUUUAAAGCAGGCUCGCGCUUGAAUACAUUAGCAUGGAAUAAUGAAAUAGGACGUUUGAUUCUAUUUUGUUGGUUUCUAGGAUCGACGUAAUGAUUAAUAGGGAUAGUUGGGGGCAUUAGUAUUCAAUUGUCAGAGGUGAAAUUCUUGGAUUUAUUGAAGACUAACUACUGCGAAAGCAUUUUGCCAAGGAUGUUUUCAUUAAUCAAGAACGAAAGUUAGGGGAUCGAAGACGAUCAGAUACCGUCGUAGUCUUAACCAUAAACUAUGCCGACUAGGGAUCGGAUGAUGUUAAUUUUUUCAAUGACUCAUUCGGCGCCUUA
This 520-nucleotide ribosomal RNA is filed under the name uncultured Glomus. RNAcentral's name for it is "SSU rRNA". It matches the Rfam family "Eukaryotic small subunit ribosomal RNA", at positions 569 to 1090 of the family's 1831-position model. Lineage: Eukaryota; Fungi; Glomeromycota; Glomeromycetes; Glomerales; Glomeraceae. The record is from RNAcentral.